GGUGUCAUGGUGAGUCAAGUAAAAUUUUGGCUUAUGGUUACAAAUUAUGCGUUUACUGUAUUCAUCUUCGUGCAUGCACACAAUGUUUUAAAAAGCAUCUGUUGAGUGUCUACGGCACAACACACACGUUCUGGUGCUGGAGAUCCUGCCCUGGCUGAGCUUCUGGACCUGGUGGGGAGAAAUCCACAAUGAGUACUGAGACGACCGGCAAAAGCCCGGUGAAGGCACCUAGGAGGAGGGCCUGCUUACCCUGGAGGAGUCGGGAGCAGCUUCCAGAGCGAGGAGCCUUCUAAGGUACCCACAAGCACAAGAGACAGUAAAUGGAAAGUGCUUGGGAGCCCCGUGCCCAGGUGGUGCUGGCCCCAGCUGGACUGCGGGGAUAGAUGUUGAGUGUCCAGGUUCUAGCAUUAUGGAACAGAAUCCGGCCUGUUGGGAAAUCCUGCCUACAAGCAUACCUCCAUUAAUUAGUGUCUUCCGUGAACAUUUUUAUUAAAAAAAGAAGAAAAGCUUCUC
RNAcentral lists this long non-coding RNA (513 nucleotides) under Pongo abelii (Sumatran orangutan). RNAcentral describes it as "lincRNA". Lineage: Eukaryota; Metazoa; Chordata; Mammalia; Primates; Hominidae. The record is from RNAcentral.